Long non-coding RNA from Pseudophryne corroboree (corroboree frog), 2610 nucleotides. RefSeq lists it as uncharacterized. NCBI's taxonomy places the organism in Eukaryota, Metazoa, Chordata, Amphibia, Anura, Myobatrachidae. The transcript is spliced from 4 exons. The record is from RefSeq and is a predicted model, not a curated record.
CUGUUCACCCCUCCUGCAGCGUCAUCUAAAGGCAGCCGAGCUCCACUGGUGGAGCGGCCGGAGCCAAAGCAACGGGGAGACCACAUGGACCGGGAUGCGGCCACUAUCUUGCCGCCUGCACGCCUCCGCACAGCAACACCGUCGGCUUCCCACCUGCCUCCGUCACCGGAUCCAUGGGGCUAUACAGCGAGGCUCACCCCAUCCUGCCACUCGCUCUCCUGCCUGGCUGCUUCCCCUGCUCUGGAGCUGCUCCUCCCACCAGGCAUUGGCAGUCCAUUUCACACAGGGUCAUCAUCCAGUGGAGAGAGCACGGGGAUCAGGCCUCCUCCAGCUCCAGGCCCACCCCUCCUGCUGAGACCACCUGGUCUGGGCCCAGCUCUGGAUGUGCUCCUGACCUAAUCCACAAGAUUAAACAGCACAUUCAUCACUGAACCUUUCCUUACCCAUGGGAAUAUACUGGCACUAGGACAAUUUUGAAAACUUUUUAAACAUUAAAAACAUAUUUCUUGUGAAUUCCGCUGAUAUAUAUGUCAUACACAGCACAAUGAAGGAACCCCCUGGGAACUUACAAUGCCUCAAGGAUCCCAACAGUCAGUGCAUGCAUCAAGAACAAUGACAGACGUAGCAAUGGUUAGAAGAUUAUGGACAGACGGUAGGAGCUGCUGCAUCGGAGCCAUGGGGGAUACAUUUUAUAGAGCACAUAAAAUUGAUAACAGUGAACCCCAAGUAACAUCACACCCAGAAAUCUAAAAAAAACAUAAUGUGUACCAAACAGCAUGUGCCCUGGACUUAUACAGUCACCAAUGCUUGUCUAUUAUUCCCCAGCACUCCCACAACAGCGCAUCCCAUUACAGAAAGAUGCCCCACCAUGAGCCUGUCUGUUCAUCACACAUCAGAUUCCCACCUACCAUGGUAUAUAUUAGGUGAAAAAGAUGGCUUUACAAUAUAGAAAAUUGUGUGAUCGGAAUAAAUGAUAUUACAAGUUGAACCACAACUACUGCUGUAUCUAUUUAAGUUUAUAAUAUCUUUAAAAUAUAAACUGAUUCCAGGGGUAAAUGUUCUACAUUACAUUCCGAUCAUUUGUAGCACAAUCUUUAUCUAAGUGAAGAAAUAUUUUUUGAAAACCUACAUAAACUGAAAGGCAAAAUACAGGCGUUGUUUUGUUCUUGCUAACGUGACUCUUUCCAUUGUCAUCACCAUUCUGUUCACCAAGAGUGCAUACAGAAAAGAUACAUGCAUUUGUGAAUAAGAGGCAAGGGCCUUAAAAGAGGGCAUGUCCACGCCCCCUAAAAAAAUGCACACCCCACAUGGGGCGCCAUUCUAAUCCGAGAGGGUAGGGAGCAGGGGAGGGCACCCGAUUCCAACCUUGCUUGUGGGAAGCAUGUCCCUCCUUCUCAGUCAGCACCAUCCCAGUGAUAUUUGUGAAGAUGUUAGAUAUACACUAAAGAGCAAAGACUGUGCCAGAGUCUUUGCUUUCAAUGGCUGGGCGCCAUCUUCCCGAAGAUAUCACUGGGAAGAUGACGCCGGCCUUAAGUAUAGGUAUACUUGGGAUGGCCCUUCCAGCAGACCAAGCAGGCCCCUUCCGGCAGUGUCCCCCCCUCCCUGUGCCACUGAUAAGAAGUAUACAAAAAUUUCACAAGACUGCGGCUUCUAAUUGGUCCUCCUGCUCACAUCCAUUAGCAAUGGUCAUUUAUUGUUAGUUAGAUAAAUUAAUUUUCUGGUUCUGUAUUAUAUAGACCCAUCAGAACCCUGGGAAAACAGCUGUAUGUGGGAGCUCCAGGGCUCUAUCUAGGGGAGAGACCCCUUUCUAAAACCAUUUUCCUAGGUGACAAUGCCCCUUUAAUUUAGAAAGCUUACUUGAACAAUAUAAAACAAACAAUGGUACGUAGUAAUUUGAGUGUAGUACACUGAGAAGAGUACUUCUCUACAGAUUAAUUUGCAAAAGCGAUGCAGUUUACAAUAUCGAAAUCUUCUUGAUGAACAUUAAGUGUAGCCAAAUGAUUCAGUCGCACUUAAAUAAAUAAUUGGCCACAGCAAAGCCGGUGUGCAGUCACUCCUGUGCUCAGCACGUGUCAGAGGACUGUUUAUGUAUGAUUUUACUGAAUCACGCCACAGUGCAAAUCAUAGUGCUGUAGAGACGGAAUAUGUUGGGAAGACAAUAGGAUCCCAAUAAUUUAAAGGGGAUGUUCCCCCUUUCAACUUUGCUUAUGCUGCAGUAAUUAUGCCAGUGAAAACAGGUGUACAGGCAGGCCAUUUCCUGGCCCAAUAAGGAUAAAGUGCAUUCCAGUAACCUGGAACCAAACCUGCUGGGCUAAUUACAGUAUAUCAAGUAAAAAGAAGCAUUUUUCUUUCUGUACAAAAUAAAAUGUAAGCAAAUAAUCUGUAACCACACCUACUGACAUAAUUUCAAUAAAAAAAAUGACAAUUUAUAGUCUGCAUGAGAUCUAAAGACAAAUGAAAAAGUCCUGGCAGUAUCCUACCUCAUUCCACUAGUGAAUCCAUUCACCACUGUUUUCAUACUACCUUAUGGUACGAGACCCGCAUAUACGUGCAAGACCCAAUUAGGUUUGAUUUCCAUAUAUGUGAUAUGUGAUAUACUAUGUAUUUUGU